UGCUGGGCCUCCUCUCUCUAUCUGAGGUAAGAGAAGUCUUUUGUAAAAAGAAUAAUAAAAUUGGUUUUUGAAAUAAUGCCAUAGUCUAAAAGAAAAUGGGAAAAUAGAAAGUAAAAAUAUAGUUGGGCUUGUAAAGCCAUGCUCCAGUUUAUAAAAAUAAAUUGGGCAUUAUUUAAAGAGUUCAAAUAAAACCUUUUUUAUUUAGAAUAGGCUAUGUUUUAAAAUAAAAUCAAAAGAAAAUAAAUAAAACGAAACA
Molecule: long non-coding RNA, 256 nt
Filed under: Hordeum vulgare
Lineage: Eukaryota; Viridiplantae; Streptophyta; Magnoliopsida; Poales; Poaceae
Description: long non-coding RNA (HVUL_LNC010196)
Source: RNAcentral